Molecule: ribosomal RNA, 253 nt
Filed under: uncultured bacterium
Lineage: Bacteria
Description: partial 16S ribosomal RNA
Rfam family: Bacterial small subunit ribosomal RNA
Source: RNAcentral
UACGAAGGGGGCUAGCGUUGCUCGGAAUCACUGGGCGUAAAGCGCACGUAGGCGGAUUGCUAAGUCAGGGGUGAAAUCCUGGAGCUCAACUCCAGAACUGCCCUUGAUACUGGCGGUCUCGAGUCCGGGAGAGGUGAGUGGAACUGCGAGUGUAGAGGUGAAAUUCGUAGAUAUUCGCAAGAACACCAGUGGCGAAGGCGGCCGACUGGUCCGGUUCUGACGCUGAGGCGCGAAAGCGUGGGGAGCAAACAGG